ACAGGAAGUGGCUCGGAUGCGCACGCACGACGUCCCCACAGCACUAGGGGCAGUUUCCUCCGCCGGCGUGGGAGAUCCCGGGCUCCCAGCAUUCUUGUUCGCGCCACCUCGCCCCUGCCCGCUUCGUGCCGGAGCGGGGUCGCAAGCUCCCGAGUCCCUCCGGUCCCUGCAGCCGGCGUCUCGCCGCCGUGCGACUCUCAGGUGUUGGUCACACUCACACUCUGCCCCGGCCAGGCCCUGUGCUGAGCGCCAGGUGUGUGCGAGGCAAGAACCCAGACAGGUGUCCGCGCGUUGCAGCUGGCAUUCUCCUGGGAAAGAGGUUGAUUGCAAAGACAUCCCAGGUCGUGACAGAGCCAAAAUGAGUCUGUUUGGAACAACCUCUGGUUUUGGAACUGGUGGGACCAGCAUGUUUGGCAGCACAACUACAGAUAACCACAACCCUAUGAAGGAUAUUGAAGUGACAUCCUCUCCUGAUGAUAGCAUUGGUUGUCUAUCUUUUAGCCCACCAACCUUGCCAGGGAACUUUCUUAUUGCAGGAUCGUGGGCUAACGAUGUUCGCUGCUGGGAAGUUCAGGACAGUGGACAGACUAUUCCUAAAGCCCAGCAGAUGCACACGGGGCCUGUCCUCGACGUCUGCUGGAGUGAUGAUGGGAGCAAAGUUUUUACGGCUUCAUGUGAUAAAACUGCCAAAAUGUGGGACCUUAACAGUAACCAAGCGAUACAGAUCGCACAGCAUGAUGCUCCUGUGAAAACCAUUCAUUGGAUCAAAGCCCCGAACUACAGCUGCGUGAUGACCGGGAGCUGGGAUAAGACUUUGAAGUUUUGGGAUACACGAUCAUCAAAUCCCAUGAUGGUUUUGCAGCUCCCUGAGAGGUGUUACUGUGCCGACAUGAUCUAUCCUAUGGCUGUGGUGGCAACUGCGGAGAGGGGACUGAUAGUCUAUCAGUUAGAGAACCAGCCUUCUGAAUUCAGGAGGAUAGAAUCUCCCCUGAAACACCAGGCACCUGCUCAUUCACUUUUGAGGAAUGCCGCCUGUCUUCCCCGGGUCACCGUGCAGAUGUGUUCUUGUAAAUCGUACCCCAGUUGUGUGGUUGCUGCCUGUGUGCGGGCAUUAGACCCUGUGCCGAGCUGGGGGGGCAGGCAGGGGCACCGCUUGGCCAGCUGUGGUUCCUCCUGUCCUCUAAGUACUUACAGACCUUUGUCUCUUUUUGUUAACUUUUUUUACUCACAGAAGUAAUGGGCUUGCUAUUUUGUUCAUUUGUUUUUAACCAGUUAACUGCCACGCAUCCAAAACGGAAACCAUCCCCACUGCCACGAUAGUUUGAAUUUUAAAAAAUCAAUUUGCAAUGAACAUUAUAAAAAUAAAUAUGUUACUCACAAUUUGGGUGUUCUUGAAUAUUUUCAGCUGCAAAUUCUCACGAAAAAUGAUUUUAAAGUUGGUCAGGGCUGCCACUUGGGGAAAACAUUUUUUUUUAUAGACACGCAUGGCGUGUGUGGAAGGCCUGCUGCUUGCGUCUACAGAACCUUAUGGCAUACAGUGGGUUAAAGAGCAAAUGGCACCAAAAGGGAACCAGCAUUCACUUUCCAUUUUUGUGGGACAUUUGUGUGUUCUGCAUCAUCACAGUAACAAAGUGCUCUUUCCCAUCAUCUCAUGCUGCUCAGGGCCGCACCUCCUGACCUCCGCAGAAGCUAAAGUGUCCAGCUUGGGCAGGGUGGGUGGUCCUCUGGGUUAGGCCAGGUUGUCUUGAGUAGGAGGAGGAAGGGAAGACCCAGAGGUGCCCGGCCCUGCUCCUUUGGGCCCCCAGACGCAGGGUUGGGUCAGGUGCAGUGACUUGCUUCGGCAUUGCCCUUUGUGGUUUAGAAAGUGCUGGCUCGGCCACUGUCCCACUGGACCCUUGGUCCCCAGUGAUAGCCAGGUGGGUACUGCUUCCCUUUUCCCGUGAGGGGCAGAGGCACAGAACACUGGGUCACGAUGAAGGGCGCCCACCGGGCAGUGCUGGGCUAAGAAUCACACUGACAUGUCUUCCUCCCUCCCCAUGAGAGGCCAGCACCAGAGAAGGGUCAGAUGGGGUCCUGAGGGUCGUGAGCGUUGCUGGAGUGGCGGCCAGGCCUCGGGGGUGGCAGAGAACGAGCAACUGGAUCAAAGCACAUGGCCUGCGGUUUCUUCAGAAGAAAGUCAGAAAAUAGUGCUUACUGGAGGAAUAUAUGAAAUGUUUUAUUUUACGCUGUGAGGAUGUGCUUGUCUUGUUUUUUCAAACUACAGCACCGAUGUGUGGCCAUCUUUAAAGACAAGCAGAACAAGCCGACGGGGUUCGCGCUGGGAAGCAUCGAGGGCAGAGUGGCCAUCCACUACAUCAACCCCCCAAACCCUGCCAAAGAUAACUUUACCUUUAAAUGUCACCGAUCUAACGGAA
RNA transcript from Myotis myotis, 2414 nucleotides. It is a transcript of the gene named ribonucleic acid export 1, with no coding region annotated. The record is from RefSeq and is a predicted model, not a curated record. Lineage: Eukaryota; Metazoa; Chordata; Mammalia; Chiroptera; Vespertilionidae. The transcript has 11 exons.